This 253-nucleotide ribosomal RNA is filed under the name uncultured bacterium. RNAcentral's name for it is "partial 16S ribosomal RNA". It matches the Rfam family "Bacterial small subunit ribosomal RNA", at positions 524 to 776 of the family's 1533-position model. The record is from RNAcentral.
UACGUAGGGUGCAGGCGUUAAUCGGAAUUACUGGGCGUAAAGCGUGCGCAGGCGGUUUCUUAAGUCAGAUGUGAAAGCCCCGGGCUUAACCUGGGAACUGCGUUUGAAACCGGGAGACUUGAGUGUGGCAGAGGGGGGUGGAAUUCCACGUGUAGCAGUGAAAUGCGUAGAUAUGUGGAGGAACACCGAUGGCGAAGGCAGCCCCCUGGGUUAACACUGACGCUCAUGCACGAAAGCGUGGGGAGCAAACAGG